CCUACGGGAGGCAGCAGUGGGGAAUAUUGCACAAUGGGGGAAACCCUGAUCCAGCAACGCCGCGUGAGUGAGGAAGUAUUUCGGUAUGUAAAGCUCUAUCAGCAGGGAAUAGAAAAGAAGGUACCUGAAAAAGAAGCCCCGGCUAACUACGUGCCAGCAGCCGCGGUAAUAAGUAGGGGGCAAGCGUUAUCCGGAUUUACUGGGGGUAAAGGGAGCGUUGACGGAAAGGCAAUUCAGAGGUGAAAACCGAAGGCGCAAACACGGGACUGCUUUUGAAACUGUAAAACUAGAGUACGGGAGAGGUAAGUGGAAUUCCGAGUGUAGCGGUGAAAUGCGUAGAUAUUAGGAGGAACACCAGUGGCGAAGGCGUCUUACUGGAUCGAAACUGACGUUGAGGCUCGAAAGCGUGGGGAGCAAACAGGAUUAGAUACCCCGGUAGUC
RNAcentral lists this ribosomal RNA (441 nucleotides) under uncultured bacterium. RNAcentral's name for it is "partial 16S ribosomal RNA". It matches the Rfam family "Bacterial small subunit ribosomal RNA", at positions 338 to 795 of the family's 1533-position model. The record is from RNAcentral.